Molecule: long non-coding RNA, 1924 nt
Filed under: Nicotiana tabacum (common tobacco)
Lineage: Eukaryota; Viridiplantae; Streptophyta; Magnoliopsida; Solanales; Solanaceae
Description: long non-coding RNA (NTAB_LNC006871)
Source: RNAcentral
UUUUUUACUCCAUCAUCACAUCCGCUCCCAUAGUUUCACUCGUUCUAUUACCCCUUUCCUCUUACAAGCAAAGCUUCAGUAUUCUUAACUAUGGCAGAAGCUUGCCUCGCCGAUUUUGAGUAAGUCCUUUGUCUCUCUUCAAAACCCGUGACUCUUCUCUCUCUCUCUCAUUUGCAACGAGAUUUAGUCAACACAAGAGGCCAAAAGACUUUGGGCAUUUCGAUUUUUCUGACCAAAUCACGUGAGGCUCUUUCGAAUUACAACGUUCAGAUUCAAACGGUUUUUUUUACUGAAAUUCAAAUCCUUGAUUUCAAAUUUCUGCUCAAGAGGACCCAUCCAAAAUCAUCUCUCAAAGAACCCUAACUUUCCUCUAAAAAUACCCUCUUUUGUUUUCAGACGAAGCAGAGGUGGAAGGAACAAGAAUCACCACUUUACAUUGUCCAAAAUACUAAGUCUAAGAAGGACUCCGCCUUUGCUCGAACACUAUCAGUUUUACUCUUACCGUUGUUAACUUUCUUUCUAUCUCGUUUAACUUUGGUCGUGACAGAUAUUCGAACUCGUUCGGCUUGAAGUUCGGAUCUGUUCGUGACAAUAUAGAGUAGAUUCGGGAUUCGAUGCCCUAGUUCACUAUCCCACAAAAGGUAAUAGUCGACCCUGCUUCAGGUUCUCCUAUUUAAUUUAAAAUAUUGUGUUUACAUAGAAGAAUCGCGUUUUAGGUUUCCUUUUCUUUAGUUGUCACUAUUUUUAAGUUUUGUUCUUGGUCGAGUUUAGUAUAAGCAUUGCGCUAGAAAUUAUGCUUUAACUUUUCUCUAAUCGCAUCUAGAUAUAUUGUUAUUUUGGACAACCUGUCGUGGUAUCAUGCCUUUAGAUUUUCUUAAAAAUCAGAAUUAUGUUUAAAGUUAUGACCUGAACAUGUACUUAGUGAAAAUCAUGCUUUUAGGGUCUGUUGUCAUCUUUGCGUGAAUAUUAAAACUUAGGACCUUGUUUCUGAUCAAUGUGAUGUUCUCUAGGUAUUAGGCCAAGGAUCUCGUUUUUGUGAAUUGGGAUCAUAUGAGAAAAAUCAUGUCUGCUCCUAUCUUUUCUUGAAAGAUGAUGAAUUAUAUUAAGUUUUGAAAUACCUCAAAUUGAAACAGAUUCUAGUUGACUCGAUUCACUAUGAUAAAACACUGAUUCUGAGCUUACAAGUUCUUUUUUAUAAAUAUUGACAUCCUUUUGCUACUGUCGAAUGUUGUAAAAUAUGUCAUUACCUACUCACGUUUAAAUCAACUUUUAUUUGAUUCCUAUAGAGUGGACUUUAAGACUUUAUAUUGAUACUGAAUAAGAAUAUUUACUUUUGAAAAAGAAGUGAGAAUUCUUCUUAAGGAUUUCAUACUAUUAACUUAUAAAAAUAGUUGCUUCUCUUACGUUCCAGGUUAGAGUAACAUAAUUAAGCAUGCUUUUGCCAGCAUUAGAAUUUCAAGUUGUGUAUUCUUUUUUCUGCUUAAUCUUUCUUCAUUACUUUUUGUAUUUUGUUUUUGAUUCUCCCUCUACCUACUCCUAAUUUUUUCUUUCUUUAUUUUGUUUUGCAUGAUCACCGGAGCCCAAGAGUUUCACUUUAAGACUCGAUGCCGCAGUGGCACUACAUGGAGUCUAUACAUCCUCACCUUUCCUGCUUUUGCGUUACCUAGACAACAAUAAAUAGAGAAGAGAAAACCUUCUGGGGAGCUGAACUGGCUCUUUACAACUUCAUUUUACUUCAUUUAUGGCGUACAUGUUAAAUAUUUUUAUUUUGAUUGUGUCAUUGAUUGUUAAGAUCUGAAGUUACGAUACAAUUAUAGCUAUAUCUUGUUUAACUGUGCAGGUUUUAUUUUAUAACGAAAGUACUUACUUAUCAUAUAGGUAAUUACAGUUAACUGAAGCUCUUUAGAAUCUUGAUAUGUCUUAG